UUAAAUUCCCCAUCAAGCAUGCUAUUUAUAUCUGUUUUGCUCAGUUGUUUGGCCCUGAUCUUAUCUUGUUCUUUAAUUGGUAUGGAUUUCUUUGUAUUGGUGUUUUGUCUAACUCUCUGCUUUCUUCUGUGUGAAGUAAAGUCCUUUAUAUCUCCUGCUCCUGAGAGUAAUGGCUUUAUGAAGAAGAGAUCAUGCCGUGUCCAGGGCCUCAUUCUUCAGGGAAUGUCUCUGGUGUGUGUUGUGUGCACUCUGCUAUUGUGUUUUGGCUGGUGAAUCAUUCAGAUAAGCUGUCUGCAGAGGCUUUCCUUGCCUGCAGUUUUCAGUGUUUGGGUCUUCAUGAGAAUGUGGUGAUUUUUGACUAGACGUCCUCUGUCUGCUUAUUAAAUGAAACUUGCCCUGCAGACCUCUCUGGUUGGGAGAUAUAGUGUGGGCAGGAGUUUGUGUUGGUCUUUACAGAAAGGGGUCUCUGCACUUGGACUGAGGCAAGCUUGACUGAGAAAGACAAUUCUGUCAGGGCAAAGGGGUGUGGAGUUUGAUGUAACCAAGUUACAUAGCCAGUGUUGUCACUGCACUAUUUCCAGCAGGUGGCUCUGUGGUUGUGCUGACGGGUGCUGAAGGGAAAUUGUGCUAGCCAGCUCCUUUGUCCCUGAAGAGGUGUCUCCAUGAAUUCUGACUUUCAGGUGGCUUUGUGCUUAUUGACAAGCAGGGGAGAAAAUUAUCUCCAGCCAGCUCCUUUAUCUCUGGAAAGGAGUCUCCAUGAAUGCUGCAUCUCAGGGACAUGUGACAAAAAGAGUGAAUAAUCGCCUCCCUGUGUGCCCCAGAGAGAGAGACAGAGCAUGAGCAGGGGAAGGACAGAGAG
Long non-coding RNA from Felis catus (domestic cat), 859 nucleotides. RefSeq lists it as uncharacterized. NCBI's taxonomy places the organism in Eukaryota, Metazoa, Chordata, Mammalia, Carnivora, Felidae. The transcript has 3 exons. The record is from RefSeq and is a predicted model, not a curated record.